This 253-nucleotide ribosomal RNA is filed under the name uncultured bacterium. RNAcentral's name for it is "partial 16S ribosomal RNA". It matches the Rfam family "Bacterial small subunit ribosomal RNA", at positions 524 to 776 of the family's 1533-position model. The record is from RNAcentral.
UACGUAGGGGGCAAGCGUUGUCCGGAAUCAUUGGGCGUAAAGAGCGUGUAGGCGGCCUGAUAAGUCGGUUGUGAAAGUCAAGGGCUCAACCCUUGAAUGCCGGCCGAUACUGUCAGGCUAGAGUCCGGAAGAGGCGAGUGGAAUUCCUGGUGUAGCGGUGAAAUGCGCAGAUAUCAGGAGGAACACCGGUGGCGAAGGCGGGUCUCUGGGCCGAAACUGACGCUGAGGAGCGAAAGCGUGGGGAGCGAACAGG